Molecule: unclassified non-coding RNA, 246 nt
Filed under: Hevea brasiliensis (rubber tree)
Lineage: Eukaryota; Viridiplantae; Streptophyta; Magnoliopsida; Malpighiales; Euphorbiaceae
Source: RNAcentral
GUAGGCUUGGGACUUGUUCUAUGUUGACAUUGGAGACAUCACCUUUGAAUUUGUUGUGCAAAGAUGGCUUAUAGUGCUUUUACUUCAAAUUCUACCCAACUAUCUCCAUUUCACAAGUGUAUGGGUCCCUCUAUUGGCUUCCAGAGUAUUCUAGGAUUUAGUACCCCAAGCUCAAGAAUAUUUGCACUGCCUUUUCUCUUUGUUCCUAGCACUGCCUUUUUCUCUGUUUCUAGCACCAACUCAUUU